Molecule: unclassified non-coding RNA, 369 nt
Filed under: Hevea brasiliensis (rubber tree)
Lineage: Eukaryota; Viridiplantae; Streptophyta; Magnoliopsida; Malpighiales; Euphorbiaceae
Source: RNAcentral
UAAAUGUCUGAGGAGGAAGUCUUUGCUCUUUCAGAUACUUGAUGCAUUCUUUUCCUGUUUGUUCAUCCUCAACUACUACUGCAUCCAUAUAUCUGCCCAUUGCAACUGUUACAGCAAGGUUAUACUUCUUCUGUAUUGGCCUGCAGAGAUCUGUCAUUCGACCAUGAACACCGGGAAACAGACGCUUCAGUGUUUCAACUGCUUGAGACAAUCUGGCAUCUCUCUCAUUCUCAUGUCUCUCAGCCUUCAACUCGCGUAGUUGGUCCUCUACUUCAUCAAGUCGUUUGCGCAGAUUGUCAUGUUUUUCUCUGGAGCGUCGAAGUUUAUUUUUCAUCUCACGCUGUUCUUCUUUCACCCGUUUCAGUUCUU